UAUUUAUUUAUUUUAGGGCCGCAGGUGCAGCAAAGAAAGUUCCCAGGCUAGAGGUCAAAUUGGAGCUACACCCUAUGCCACAGCCACAGACACACGAGAUCUGAGCCGCAUCUGCAACCUACACCAGAACUCACAGCAACUCCAGAUCCUUGACCCACUGAUGGAGGCCAGGGAUGGAAUCCUCAUCCUCAUGGAUACUAGUCAGAUUCGCUUCCGCUGCGCCACAAUGGGCACUCCAAGGAUCACUCCUUAAAGAAUUUCAGACAGAGUAGCUGGAUGAAUAGAGAUGCCAUUUCCAGAGGAAAAAGCCUCCUGUUGGGAAAGAGGGAAUCGAGAAUUUGUACUGGGUGUAUUAAGUCUGAGAUGUCUAUUAGAUAACUAAGUGCGAAUGUCAAGCAGGCAAAGAAGUCCUGGCUAGAGGUAAAAUUUGAGAAUCAUUAGAUGUCCACAAUAUUUACAAAAUCCAUAAGACCAUACAGGAUCAUAAGGACAGUAAACGUGGAGAAAAGAAAAGGAUUUGAAAACUGAGCCUCAGAGCUCUCCAUCAUUUUGAGUUAGCAGAGUUAAGAAGGACCGAGCAAAGGAGACUGCUACAUGUCUCUGCUGAAUAUAAACUUAAGGGAUGGGACCAACUCUUAGCACCAUGCUUAGCUUGUAAUAGAUAAUUAAAUAUUACUGAAUAAUAAUAGUAUGUUUAUAACUUUAGCAUGGGUAAAAAGAGGUUCUAAUAUCACAAGUUAUAAAACUGCAUAUAAAUGUCUUUUUAUAUGUUUGAUAUAAAGUGAUCCAGGUCAACUGCUCCAAAGCUUUAAAAAGAAAAUGUCUCCUGCAUACAGUUACCAAAAGCAAUAAAUUUAAGAAUCUACAUUGUGUUAAUAGAGAGAUAUCACCCUGAAAAUAAAUCAAUCCUGAAAUGUGCAGCUUCCAACAUUUACUGAGUGCCUACUAAGAUGCUAGAAAUACAGUGGUGAGAAAAAUAGACAAAACACAUCGUCACUGAACUAACACAGAUGGACAGACAGAUAAUAAAUAAGAUAAAUAAAAUGGUAUGUUAGUAUUAAGCAGGAAUGAGCACCACACAAAACAGCAAAGGGAGGGGAGCCAAGGAAGGCUCCACCUAGAAGGUAACUUCUGCAUAAAUACACAAAGAAAGAAGGGAGACAAGUAAACAUUUUAGAGAAAGUAGCUUUUAGUCAUUGGCAAAAAGUAAACAAUUUAAACCGAGAAGAUAAACACCACUGGGAAUCAAAAGUGAUAACUUAGAUUAACAGAAAUAGAAAGAUGGCCAACUCCCUGUGUACAAGAUCAAUGAUUCUGUGCAAAGGUCAUGAGUAAUAAAUCCAGAUCCUAUCAUAUAAAUUUUACCUAGGACUGGAAUUCCAAAUAUAAGGCUAUUGGGUAGAGAUUCUGGUAUAUAUGCUUCUGGACAUGUAUGCAAGUAUGUACAUUUGAGGGGGAACUGUGUACAUGCAUUUAUAUCUAUAGGUCUUAUGUGUUUCUAUGUGUCCUAGAGGGGGGACACUACUGGGAUAAAUAAGAAAAAAAGAUAAAUAUUUAUUAAGCAGCUGCACAUGCCAAGGCAAUGCUUAAUAUUUUCUCAAAUACUUCAUUUAGUCUAUAUGACAACCUUGUGAUGUAAGCAUUUACUGUUCUCUUUCACAAAAAUUUUUAUUAAAAAAUCACAGUUACAACAUAGCUGGUACAGUGACUUGACAAGAAAUCAAAUUCCAAAGCCUAGUCUAUCCAUUACUAUUAAUGUCUUUCUGAAUACAGCAGUGCUGAGAGGAAUAGAUAGCCAUUCUCUCUGAUAUUAUCUUAAGAGACCCUGUAGGAUCUCCAAUCUAUUUCAAAGGAUAUCUUAAGCACAGAAAUAAGAGCCAACACAGACCCCAGUGUGAUUAACGCUCAAGAGAAAUUGCAAAGGGCCAGGGUCAAGGUCCUGGACAAGAUGAUCCUAAGAAAAAGAUUAUUUGGAGUGGGAAGAAAGCUAAAUCAUAGUAAUAGCUGUCAUUUAUCAAAUAAAUACAUACAUUACACAUAGGAGAUGUUUUUUAGAGACUUCAUAAAUAUAUUUCACCUAAUCAUCACAAUAACUUCUUCUAAGUAAUUUUUUUUUCUUUAAAUACAGCGAUCAGAGAGAGGAAUAACAUUCCAGGAGUAAGGCACAACAUGAAGAGGUCUGAGAGGUAGAAACAAGAAGAGCAUCUUCAAGAAGGCUAAGGCAUAGAGAGAUGAAAGAGGAACAAGAAGAGAUAAGACUGUAAAGGAAAGGCAGCUUCAGAAAGUAUCUGGAAUGCCAAGCUAAGGAGUUUUAACUUUAUUCAGUAAGCAUCAAGGGUCACUGAAAGUUUCUGUGUGGUCAAAACUAUGCUACAGGAAAAUUACUGACAGCUACAGGGCCUACACUAAGGAAAUGAAAAGGCAAUGGGGAAGGGAGCGUGAUGGACUGGGAGUCUGAGGUUAGUAGACAGCAAACUAUCACAUUUGGAGUGGAUAAGCAAUGCAGUCCUGCUAUAUGGCACAAAGAACUAUAUCCAGUCACUUGCGAUGGAACAUGAUGGAGGAUAAUGUGAGAAAAAGAAUGUAUAUAUGUGUACAACUGGGUCAUUUUGCUGUGCAGCAGAAACUGACAGAACAUUUACUGAGCCACUGCAUUGAUAAUGCCAGAUCCUUAACCUGCUGAGCCACAUGAGAACUAAUAUUUCUUAAAUUUUUACUGAAAUAUAGUUGAUUUACAGUGUUGUGUUAAUCUCAGGUAUACAAUAAAGUGAUUCGGUUAUACAUACACACAUAUACACACACACACACACACACGUUUUAAAAUUAUCUUCCAUUAUAGGUUAUUAUAAGAUAUUGAGUAGAGUUCCCUGUGCUAUACAGUAGGUCUCUGUUGGUUAUCCAUUUUAUAUAUAGUAGUGUGUUUAUUUUAAUCCCAAACUCAUCAUUUAUUCCUCUCCCUCAGUUUAAUUUUAAUUUCUGCUAUAGGAUAAAAGACGCACAUAUUUCUGAAAAACAUACAGUACUGAUGUAGUAAACCAAGUUGAACAAAUUCACUUUGGAGAUAGAUCUGAGUUUCAACACAAGUUUUGUACUUAAUGAUCUGCAUGUCCUUAGUCUUAACCAACUGCUUGCAUAAAAAGAAGUAAUUAUAAUACUUCAGGGACUACUAUGAGAAUUAACUGAGGUAAAGCACUUACCACAAUGCCUAGAACAGAGUAACCACUCAGUAAAUGGUAACUAAUAGCACCCUUCCUUGGUUAGGGAUUGCUAAAAAUUAGCAUCUGUCCACAAAUUCCUUCACCCUAGCCAUUAGGUCCUGACCAAAAAUAAUCUGUAGUUUAACAACUGGAUACAUCGGAGGAGCUCAUUUUUUUCUAAAUGAGACUUUUUAAAAUUUCUAUUAGAGGAAAACGUAUGGAAAACCACCUCCUUUUCUAUACCUUAUGCUCCACAUCUCUGAAACGAAGGGUUUUAGAGAACUAUUUCAAAUUGGGGGUUUACAAACUAGGAGUCAGCUAGUCAAAGACUUACUUUGUUUGGAUUGCAUAAUAUUAGAAAAAAUGUAGCCAACACCUAUAAACGGGGAGAGUUAAUAAUAAAUAUUUCUGGUUUCUCUUUUAAGAAUCCAAGACCUAGAAGUUCCCUUGUGGCGCUGGGUUAAGGAUCGAGCAUUGUCCCUGCAGCAGCUGGGGUCACUACUACGGUGCAGGUUCGAUCCCUGGCCUGGGAACUUCCACUGGCCAUGGGUGUGGCCAAAAAUACAUAAAGAUAACACAUGAAAUUUUUUUUUUUUUUUUUGACCACCCCAUGGCAUAUGUUGUUCCCAGGACAGGGGUCAGAUGUGAGACGCGUUUGCAACCUAAACCGCAGCUGCAGCAAUGCUGGAUACUUAAUUCACUCUGUUCGUCCAAGGAUUGAACCUGUGUCCCAGCGCUUCCAAGACACUGCUGAUCCCACUGCACCACCAGCAGGAACCCAACACAUGACAUUUUUUGAAAAGGCACAUGGCAACACUGAUUUCAAUUGUUUUUAGAUAGUGCUACCUAUGGCCAGUUUGAUAAAUACUAUAAGAACCAGAUAUACAUUUAUAUGAAGUAAAUUGUUUAUCAAGAAAACUAUGGACAUAUACUUUACCGAUUAUCACCACUGCUUAUGUUACAGCCCAUACUUAACUGAGUACACAGUGUACCAGGCAGUGUACCAAGUCAUCCAAUCUUUCUACAACCACUCUGUAAGAUCAGAGUAACUACUAUUAUCAAAUUAUACAAAAGGAAACUGAGGUUCAGAGAGAUU
RNAcentral lists this long non-coding RNA (4293 nucleotides) under Sus scrofa (pig). Its description in RNAcentral is "lncRNA (ENSSSCG00015063197.1)". The record is from RNAcentral. Lineage: Eukaryota; Metazoa; Chordata; Mammalia; Artiodactyla; Suidae.